RNAcentral lists this transfer-messenger RNA (400 nucleotides) under bovine gut metagenome. It matches the Rfam family "transfer-messenger RNA". From Rfam's summary of the family: Bacterial tmRNA, also known as 10Sa RNA or SsrA, is named for its dual tRNA and mRNA-like properties. Its role is to liberate the mRNA from a stalled ribosome. The record is from RNAcentral.
GGGGAUGUUUUGGAUUAGACAGGAUGUUCCGAUUGAGAUAGAUUGCGAGUCCGAGCGCUGUUCUCGGUCAUCAACGAGCAAACAAAUUAAGUGCUAAAAAUAAUGUAGUUGAAGCAGACUUCUCUAGAGCAUAUGCUUUAGCAGCUUAGUCUUCCGACGAAAAAGCCACUCAUAUAGCCCAGCUUGCCGGUUGUAUGGGUCAAUUAUGCAAGACGCAGUACACUGAUGACAAUGGGUGUAUCAAGAUAAUUGUCAAAGGUUUAGAGUUUCCUUCAAAUAAAACCUAGGGCUGAAUUAUCGGGUAGUGAUUUUUCCUGAUUCAGUUGAGCGAAUAAAAUCUACACUCGUAGAAGUUUAUCGAGAUCCAUUUUGGACAGGGGUUCAACUCCCCUCAUCUCCA